GCUGAGUAUGGUGGCGCAUACCUGUGAUCCUAGAGACUCAGGAGGCUGAGGCAGGAGAAUCGCAAGUUCAAAGCCAACCUCAGCAAUGGUGAAGUGCUAAGCAACUCAGUGAGACCCUGUCUCUA
RNAcentral lists this small RNA (125 nucleotides) under Marmota monax (woodchuck). The record is from RNAcentral. Lineage: Eukaryota; Metazoa; Chordata; Mammalia; Rodentia; Sciuridae.